This 186-nucleotide ribosomal RNA is filed under the name uncultured Carnobacteriaceae bacterium. RNAcentral describes it as "partial 16S ribosomal RNA". It matches the Rfam family "Bacterial small subunit ribosomal RNA", at positions 154 to 334 of the family's 1533-position model. Lineage: Bacteria; Bacillati; Bacillota; Bacilli; Lactobacillales; Carnobacteriaceae. The record is from RNAcentral.
AAACGGAUGCUAAUACCCCAUAGGUGGAUUGGUCGCAUGACGAAUUCAUUAAAGGUGGCUUUGCUACCACUCAUGGAUAGCCUCGCGGCGUAUUAGCUAGUUGGUAAGGUAAUGGCUUACCAAGGCAGUGAUACGUAGCCGACUUGAGAGGGUGAUCGGCCACACUGGGACUGAGACACGGCCCAG